GUUUGUUCCCAAGAGGAACAGACACAGCCUGCUGUAGCAUUUCACAAAGAUGGCUUGGUAAAGCUUGCUAUUUAUCCAAAUUAAGAAAAGCUUGCAGGUUGUCCAAUCGAAACACAAUGGUGAAUGUUUUACAACACUACCACCCGUUUUGUAUUGAUUGCAUCCGGAUACUAUUCCGUUCUUAAAUCACACCAUUAGAAAACUGGUAGAGUACCAAGGAUUUUUUGUAUUCAAACCUGCAUACAAAUAUAACAGACAAGUUAAAAUGCAGCACAGCUGCUUAUCUAUAAAUCCAGCAGACAUUGAGUAAUGUCAGCAUUCAUUCAAGGUCAUGUUUGUGUCCACCUACUACGUGUAAGGCAAAUAUUCACUCUUAUUUUGGCUGUUUUCAGCUGUCAGUUGCUAACUCUGUGUUUUGGUGCUGGGUAGGUAGUGUACAAUGCAUUUUUUUAAAGCUUUUUUCGCUCAAAAAAGAUGCCUGCUGUGGUCAAACAAGAUGCUGAUAAAGGCAGCAAGAAACUGAACCAAAUCUGGAAAGUUGCCGGCCAGAAAACCAUAACAAGGGCUCCCUCCCUGAUGAUCUCAUAGUAUCAGAACAUGACAUCAGAGACAUGUGACCAAAGGCCGGUACAGAUUGAGCUGCAGCUGGAGGAGUCUCUCAUCUAUAUACUCCGUUUGUUUUUACAAGCAAAAAACAUGAUGCCACUUAAUUUAUACAAGCACAUUGUGAGACUGUCUACACCGCC
This is a long non-coding RNA of Scomber japonicus (chub mackerel), 746 nucleotides long. RefSeq lists it as uncharacterized. The record is from RefSeq and is a predicted model, not a curated record. The transcript has 4 exons. Lineage: Eukaryota; Metazoa; Chordata; Actinopteri; Scombriformes; Scombridae.